Molecule: ribosomal RNA, 474 nt
Filed under: uncultured bacterium
Lineage: Bacteria
Description: bacterial SSU rRNA
Rfam family: Bacterial small subunit ribosomal RNA
Source: RNAcentral
CUCGUAGACUCCUACGGGAGGCAGCAGUGGGGAAUAUUGCACAAUGGGGGAAACCCUGAUGCAGCCAUGCCGCGUGUGUGAAGAAGGCCUUCGGGUUGUAAAGCACUUUCAGUAGGGAGGAAGGUAGUGUAGUUAACACCUGCAUUAUUUGACGUUACCUACAGAAGAAGCACCGGCUAACUCCGUGCCAGCAGCCGCGGUAAUACGGAGGGUGCGAGCGUUAAUCGGAAUUACGUGGGCGUAAAGCGCAUGCAGGCGGCCUGUUAAGUCAGAUGUGAAAGCCCCGGGGCUUAACCUCGGAAUUGCAUUUGAAACUGGCAGGCUAGAGUCUUGUAGAGGGGGUAGAAUUUCAGGUGUAGCGGUGAAAUGCGUAGAGAUCUGAAGGAAUACCAGUGGCGAAGGCGGCCCCCUGGACAAAGACUGACGCUCAGAUGCGAAAGCGUGGGGAGCAAACAGGAUUAGAUACCCUGGUAG